UGAUGCGAGUGACCUAUUUGAGGACUUU
This 28-nucleotide non-coding RNA is filed under the name Rattus norvegicus (Norway rat). The record is from RNAcentral. Lineage: Eukaryota; Metazoa; Chordata; Mammalia; Rodentia; Muridae.